AUCCAGCUGACGAGUCCCGAAUAGGAUGAAACGCGCGUCUAGACUGGAU
Non-coding RNA from Schistosoma mansoni, 49 nucleotides. Lineage: Eukaryota; Metazoa; Platyhelminthes; Trematoda; Strigeidida; Schistosomatidae. The record is from Rfam.